RNAcentral lists this ribosomal RNA (489 nucleotides) under uncultured bacterium. RNAcentral describes it as "partial 16S ribosomal RNA". It matches the Rfam family "Bacterial small subunit ribosomal RNA", at positions 28 to 523 of the family's 1533-position model. The record is from RNAcentral.
GACGAACGCUGGCGGCGUGCUUAACACAUGCAAGUCGAACGGGAUCCAUGUUGUCGCAAUACUUCGGAAGAUCUAGUAGCGAACGGGUGAGGAACACGUGAGAAACCUGCCCCGAACUUCGGGAUAACAGUGGGAAACGACUGCUAAUCCCGAAAACCUCUGCGAAGUGGCAUCACUAUGCAAAGAAAGAAUUUCGGUUCGGGAGGUUCUCGCGGCCUAUCAGCUAGUUGGUGGAGUAACGGCCUACCAAGGCAUCGACGGGUCGCUGGUCUGAGAGGAUGAUCAGCCAGACUGGGACUGAGAAACGGGACAGAUUCCUACGGAGGGCAGCAGUGUGGAAUAUUGCACAAUGGGCGCAAGCCUGAUGCAGCGACGCCGCGUGAGGGAUGACGGCCUUCGGGUUGUAAACCUCUUUCAGCACCGACGAAGCGCAAGUGACGGUAGGUGUAGAAGAAGGACCGGCCAACUACGUGCCAGCCGCCGCCGUAA